UACGUAGGGUGCGAGCGUUAAUCGGAAUUACUGGGCGUAAAGCGUGCGCAGGCGGAUUGUUAAGCAAGAUGUGAAAUCCCCGGGCUUAACCUGGGAAUGGCAUUUUGAACUGGCAGUCUAGAGUGUGUCAGAGGGGGGUGGAAUUCCACGUGUAGCAGUGAAAUGCGUAGAUAUGUGGAGGAACACCAAUGGCGAAGGCAGCCCCCUGAGAUAACACUGACGCUCAUGUACGAAAGCGUGGGUAGCAAACAGGAUUAGAUACCCUGGUAGUCCACGCCCUAAACGAUGUCAACUGGUUGUUGGGGGAGUGAAAUUCCUUAGUAACGAAGCUAACGCGUGAAGUUGACCGCCUGGGGAGUACGGUCGCAAGAUUAAAACUCAAAGGAAUUGACGGGGACCCGCACAAGCGGUGGAUGAUGUGGAUUAAUUCGAUGCAACGCGAAAAACCUUACCUACCCUUGACAUGUCCAGAACCCUGCAGAGAUGCGGGGGUGCCCGAAAGGGAAUUGGAACACAGGUGCUGCAUGGCUGUCGUCAGCUCGUGUCGUGAGAUGUUGGGUUAAGUCCCGCAACGAGCGCAACCCUUAUCAUUAGUUGCUACGCAAGGGCACUCUAAUGAGACUGCCGGUGACAAACCGGAGGAAGGUGGGGAUGACGUCAAGUCCUCAUGGCCCUUAUGGGUAGGGCUUCACACGUCAUACAAUGGUCGGUACAGAGGGUUGCCAAGCCGCGAGGUGGAGCCAAUCCCAGAAAGCCGAUCGUAGUCCGGAUUGUUCUCUGCAACUCGAGAGCAUGAAGUCGGAAUCGCUAGUAAUCGCGGAUCAGCAUGUCGCGGUGAAUACGUUCCCGGGUCU
This 854-nucleotide ribosomal RNA is filed under the name uncultured bacterium. RNAcentral's name for it is "bacterial SSU rRNA". It matches the Rfam family "Bacterial small subunit ribosomal RNA", at positions 524 to 1381 of the family's 1533-position model. The record is from RNAcentral.